This 296-nucleotide unclassified non-coding RNA is filed under the name Hevea brasiliensis (rubber tree). Lineage: Eukaryota; Viridiplantae; Streptophyta; Magnoliopsida; Malpighiales; Euphorbiaceae. The record is from RNAcentral.
GAAAGAUAAAUUUAAAAUUCUGAAGAUUGAGAAGAAAAGUUGUUCGGGUAGAAACUAACAAUGGAAUCUUUGGCCGACAGUACUAGCUCAUUAGACACAUCAAGAUGACUGUUUUCCUGUUUUGUCGUGUUGUCAUUAUUGAAAUUUAAGCAUUAGGGAAGUUAUUUUAUUUUUUCUUUUUAAAAUGCAAGAUUUGCAAGACCCAAUAAGAUAGGAUUACAUGGACAAAUUGGCCCAAAUCAAUCCCUAAAAAAUUCCAAACUCAGAGCCCUAUUACUAGGAAGCCAGCCCACAGA